RNAcentral lists this ribosomal RNA (253 nucleotides) under uncultured bacterium. RNAcentral's name for it is "partial 16S ribosomal RNA". It matches the Rfam family "Bacterial small subunit ribosomal RNA", at positions 524 to 776 of the family's 1533-position model. The record is from RNAcentral.
UACGUAGGGCGCAAGCGUUGUCCGGAAUUAUUGGGCGUAAAGAGCUCGUAGGCGGUCUGUUACGUCCGCUGUGAAAACCCAGGGCUUAACCCUGGGCUUGCAGUGGAUACGGGCAGACUAGAGGCAGGUAGGGGAGAAUGGAAUUCCCGGUGUAGCGGUGAAAUGCGCAGAUAUCGGGAGGAACACCGGUGGCGAAGGCGGGUCUCUGGGCAGUAACUGACGCUGAGGAGCGAAAGCGUGGGGAGCAAACGGG